RNAcentral lists this ribosomal RNA (253 nucleotides) under uncultured microorganism. Its description in RNAcentral is "partial 16S ribosomal RNA". It matches the Rfam family "Bacterial small subunit ribosomal RNA", at positions 524 to 776 of the family's 1533-position model. The record is from RNAcentral.
UACGGAGGAUCCAAGCGUUAUCCGGAUUUAUUGGGUUUAAAGGGUGCGUAGGCGGCUUAUUAAGUCAGGGGUGAAAGACGGUGGCUCAACCAUCGCAGUGCCUUUGAUACAGAUGAGCUUGAAUAUACUUGAGGUAGGCGGAAUGUGACAAGUAGCGGUGAAAUGCAUAGAUAUGUCACAGAACACCGAUUGCGAAGGCAGCUUACCAAGGUAUGAUUGACGCUGAGGCACGAAAGCGUGGGGAUCAAACAGG